GGCAUGGCUAUGUCUCUCCCUCUCCCUGUGGCAUGGCUAUGUCUCUCCCCCUCCCUGUGGCAUAGCUAUGUCUCUCCCCGUCCGUGUGGCAUAGCUAGGUCUCUCUCUCUCCCUGUGUAUAGCUAGGUCUCUCUCUCUCCCCGUGUAUAGCUAUGUCUCUAUCCCUGUGGAAUAGCUAGGUCUCUCUCUCCCUGUGGCAUAGCUAUGUCUCUCUCUCUCCCUGUGGAAUAGCUAGGUCUCUCUCUCUCCCUGUGGCAUAGCUAGAUCUCUCUCCCUGUGGCAUGGCUAUGUCUGUCUCCCUGUGGCAUAGCUAGGUCUCUCUCUCUCCCUGUGUAUAGCUAUGUCUCUCUCCCUGUGGAAUAGCUAGGUCUCUCUCUCUCCCUGUGGCAUAGCUAGGUCUCUCUCCCUGUGGCAUGGCUAUGUCUUUCUCCCUGUAGAAUAGCUAGGUCUCUCUCUCUCCCUGUGGCAUAGCUAUGUCUCUCUCCCUGUGGCAUAGCUAGGUCUCUCUCCCUGUGGC
Long non-coding RNA from Oncorhynchus tshawytscha (Chinook salmon), 517 nucleotides. The record is from Ensembl. Lineage: Eukaryota; Metazoa; Chordata; Actinopteri; Salmoniformes; Salmonidae.